This is a long non-coding RNA of Helianthus annuus (common sunflower), 422 nucleotides long. RefSeq lists it as uncharacterized. The transcript is spliced from 3 exons. NCBI's taxonomy places the organism in Eukaryota, Viridiplantae, Streptophyta, Magnoliopsida, Asterales, Asteraceae. The record is from RefSeq and is a predicted model, not a curated record.
GGGGGGAAACUCCUUCCCUCUCAAAACCCUAAAUCACAAAAUUCCAUCAAUUGAAAGCCUGAUUAUUGAAGAAUCGAAUGCAUGAGCUAAGAAUCCUGAUUAUCUAAGUGUUCUUGAUCUCAAGAAAUAAGAAGGAGGAAGGAGCAAGUCACUCCAAGGCACAAGGAGCUCAGGAUCACGGUAAAUCUCAUGUUUGAAGUUGGCGAGCUCGGACGAACACACUAAAUUGCCCUUUUUGCGCUUCCGGACUAUGUUAUCUUUUACUUAUGGGUCGAAAAUCAUUUUGUUAAUGUAAAUGUUAACCGUAUGUCUAGAAUAAUAGUAAGUGUUUUCAGAACGUUUGAAUCCCUUGGGUUGUUUUUGAAUUAUAAUGUAAAAACAGGGAAACGUUUAUGUUACAAAUGGGUCAUGCCCAAUUUUUG